RNAcentral lists this ribosomal RNA (253 nucleotides) under uncultured bacterium. RNAcentral's name for it is "partial 16S ribosomal RNA". It matches the Rfam family "Bacterial small subunit ribosomal RNA", at positions 524 to 776 of the family's 1533-position model. The record is from RNAcentral.
UACGUAGGGUGCAAGCGUUAAUCGGAAUUACUGGGCGUAAAGGGCGCGUAGGCUGUGCUGUAAGUCAGGCGUGAAAGCCCCGGGCUCAACCUGGGAAUUGCGCUUGAUACUGCGGCGCUGGAAGGUGGGAGAGGAUGGCGGAAUUCCCAGUGUAGAGGUGAAAUUCGUAGAUAUUGGGAAGAACACCGGUGGCGAAGGCGGCCAUCUGGCCCAUUUUUGACGCUGAGGCGCGAAAGCGUGGGGAGCAAACAGG